UACGAAGGGGGCUAGCGUUGCUCGGAAUUACUGGGCGUAAAGCGCGUGUAGGUGGAUUGGUGUGUCAGAUGUGAAAGCCCUGGGCUCAACCCAGGAACUGCACCUGAAACUACCAGUCUUGAGUGGUGGAGAGGGAAGUGGAAUUCCUGGUGUAGAGGUGAAAUUCGUAGAUAUCAGGAGGAACACCAGUGGCGAAGGCGGCUUCCUGGACACUAACUGACGCUGAGGCUCGAAAGCGUGGGGAGCAAACAGG
This 253-nucleotide ribosomal RNA is filed under the name uncultured bacterium. Its description in RNAcentral is "partial 16S ribosomal RNA". It matches the Rfam family "Bacterial small subunit ribosomal RNA", at positions 524 to 776 of the family's 1533-position model. The record is from RNAcentral.